AUGCAAGUCGAACGGCAGCACGGGAGCAAUCCUGGUGGCGAGUGGCGAACGGGUGAGUAAAGCAUCGGAACGUGCCCAGUCGUGGGGGAUAACGUAGCGAAAGCUACGCUAAUACCGCAUACGAUCUGUGGAUGAAAGCGGGGGACCGUAGGGCCUCGCGCGAUUGGAGCGGCCGAUGUCAGAUUAGGUAGUUGGUGGGGUAAAGGCUCACCAAGCCGACGAUCUGUAGCUGGUCUGAGAGGACCAACCAGCCAACACUUGGCACUGAAGACACGGCCCAGACUCCUACGGGAGGCAGCAGUGGGGAAUUUUGGACAAUGGGCGCAAGCCUGAUCCAGCAAUGCCGCGUGCAGGAUGAAGGCCUUCGGGUUGUAAACUGCUUUUGUACGGAGCGAAAAGGCUUCCACUAAUACUGGGGGCUCAUGACGGUACCGUAAGAAUAAGCACCGGCUAACUACGUGCCAGCAGCCGCGGUAAUACGUAGGGUGCAAGCGUUAAUCGGAAUUACUGGGCGUAAAGCGUGCGCAGUCGGUCUUGUAAGACAGGUGUGAAAUCCCCGGGCUUAACCUGGGAACUGCGCUUGUGACUGCAAGGCUGGAGUA
This 602-nucleotide ribosomal RNA is filed under the name uncultured beta proteobacterium. RNAcentral's name for it is "bacterial SSU rRNA". It matches the Rfam family "Bacterial small subunit ribosomal RNA", at positions 55 to 648 of the family's 1533-position model. Lineage: Bacteria; Pseudomonadati; Pseudomonadota; Betaproteobacteria. The record is from RNAcentral.